UUCAAGUACAGCUUGGAGUGAGUUGCAGUCCUUCUUACUUGAGAACUUCUUUCAUCCUCACUUCCUUUGUUGGGAGAUUGUGAUGCAAUGCUGGUGCUUUGUACUGCAAUAUGCUGAAACACAAAUGGCAAACAACAUAAUUAGCAAACUAUGUUCAUUACUUAAGCUGUUGGGAUCCUCCGACUCAGUUUUCCUUCCUCAUUCUUCCUUCAGGAAAUUGACAAGAUCAUUUUGCUUGCUUCUAACCUGUUGUGAAAAAUCAGUGGUUGAAGAGGUGUUUAUGUCAAUUGUUGGUGAUCGGAGAUCACACUUGUCACAAAUAUUGUGUUUGGCUCUGUUCAUUGAAGGGUUUUCGCUUGAUUUGCUGUCUGAUGAGUUCAGA
This 382-nucleotide long non-coding RNA is filed under the name Medicago truncatula (barrel medic). RNAcentral describes it as "long non-coding RNA (MTRU_LNC007086)". Lineage: Eukaryota; Viridiplantae; Streptophyta; Magnoliopsida; Fabales; Fabaceae. The record is from RNAcentral.